Odocoileus virginianus texanus is the source of this 361-nucleotide non-coding RNA. The record is from RefSeq and is a predicted model, not a curated record. NCBI's taxonomy places the organism in Eukaryota, Metazoa, Chordata, Mammalia, Artiodactyla, Cervidae.
AACAAAGAAUGUCUUCCUGUCUGAUUUUGCAGUGUUUUUUUUUUUGUACUCUGGGUUUGACUUUGAUGGGCUUCCCUGGGGAAGUGCCUGCUCAUCGCUGCGCAGAAGCUGGUGGGUAAGACUUGGUGGAGAGUGAACCUAAGGUACCAGGGGAGGACCUGCUAUCUCUACCUGCUAAAAACAAAACAAGCUGUCACACAACUCUGAAGCUUAGCAUAAGGAGGAAUUCAGUGACUGUACUGAUCGUCAGCCAGUUUGAAAUUCUCGACACCAAAAGAACACACAGCAAUCUACUUCCACAGGGACCAGUCUGUGAAUGGUAACCACCACACAGAGGAUGGAAGUGUUUUCUUUUACAAAA